This 368-nucleotide long non-coding RNA is filed under the name Vigna radiata. Its description in RNAcentral is "long non-coding RNA (VRAD_LNC003705)". The record is from RNAcentral. Lineage: Eukaryota; Viridiplantae; Streptophyta; Magnoliopsida; Fabales; Fabaceae.
AUGACAUCAUAGACGUCGCACCUGCCGCAACCUGACGUCCAAUUGCCUGAGGUAUGUGAUAAGACAGUCGGAUUUUCAUGGAACCGACGUCUACUAGGCUGCAAUUAAUGCUACCCAUCAAAUUCCCAGGAGAUUAGACGUCGGCUAGAAAGGGCACCGACGUCGCCCCAUUUUCAUUUUAAAUAGACCGCAGACUCUUCUCAAAAUUCAGUUUCAAUCGCGUCUUUAUCUCUUCUCCUUUUUCUCUGCUUCUCCUCUACUGUUUAUCUCUUGCUGCAUUGCGUUGUCGUUUCUCAUAACGUCAUUGGCUUCAUCCUCUCCUUUUUCUCUCUUGCAUCCCAAGUUCGUGGUUUUUUUUAUGCUACCCG